RNAcentral lists this transfer RNA (58 nucleotides) under Oncorhynchus kisutch (coho salmon). It matches the Rfam family "tRNA", at positions 8 to 63 of the family's 71-position model. From Rfam's summary of the family: Transfer RNA (tRNA) molecules are approximately 80 nucleotides in length. The record is from Rfam by way of RNAcentral. RNAcentral also lists the same sequence under 2 other names. Lineage: Eukaryota; Metazoa; Chordata; Actinopteri; Salmoniformes; Salmonidae.
UAGCUCAGUUGGUACAGCAUGGCGCUUGCAAUGCCAGGGUUGUGGGUUCGAUUUCCAC